CCCUUAGAUGUUCUGGGCCGCACGCGUGCUACACUGAGUAAAUCAAUGGGUAAGGGAACACGAAAGUGCAACCUAAUCUUCAAAUUUGCUCGUGAUGGGGAUCGACGGUUGCAAUUUUCCGUCGUGAACGAGGAAUACCUUGUAGGCGCGUGUCAUCAUCACGCGCCGAAUACGUCCCUGCCCUUUGUACACACCGCCCGUCGCUACUGCCAACUGAGAUGGGUCCUGAAUUGUUAGGAACGCCCGUCAAGGGGCCUACCCGGUCCCUAGUGCGGUGACGAGAAUAACUGUAAAUGGCAUAUCUUGUAGGGAGUAAAAGUCGUAACA
This 327-nucleotide ribosomal RNA is filed under the name uncultured eukaryote. RNAcentral describes it as "partial 18S ribosomal RNA". It matches the Rfam family "Eukaryotic small subunit ribosomal RNA", at positions 1470 to 1796 of the family's 1831-position model. The record is from RNAcentral.